Molecule: transfer RNA, 72 nt
Filed under: Chloroflexota bacterium
Lineage: Bacteria; Bacillati; Chloroflexota
Also listed under: 2 other names
Description: Chloroflexi bacterium tRNA-Lys
Rfam family: tRNA
About the family: Transfer RNA (tRNA) molecules are approximately 80 nucleotides in length. Their secondary structure includes four short double-helical elements and three loops (D, anti-codon, and T loops).
Source: RNAcentral
GGGCUGCUAGCUCAAUGGCAGAGCAGGGCACUCUUAAUGCCAAGGUUCAGGGUUCGACUCCCUGGCAGCCCA